Molecule: ribosomal RNA, 744 nt
Filed under: Triticum aestivum (bread wheat)
Lineage: Eukaryota; Viridiplantae; Streptophyta; Magnoliopsida; Poales; Poaceae
Description: partial small subunit ribosomal RNA
Source: RNAcentral
AUGGAUCAUCUCUGUCAGGGAACUUUUCCCCCUUCCAGCCCCACCCCCUUCCACCGCCCCCCAUCCUCCAAGCUCACCGGGAGACACCAAAAAGCAAUGGCGAUGGCGGGGAGUGCGGCGACAUCUAUGGAAAGACGCUCCAACGCAAAUAUGCUAAAUAUUCUUCGAUUUAUUGGUCACGCGUGUAGGCUCCCGCUGCGAGAGGUGACUGCUGAUGUUGAGCAGUCAGAUCCAUUGGUGCUAAUGGAUGUACGGCCGUCGGCGUCGACUCCAGCCAACUCGUCGUGCGAUGCUAUGGUUGGCCACCUCGAAGAAACCAUACGGAGAUGCGCUAAUAAACCAUCGGAGAAUGUAGUGAAGCCAGAUAUUGGGAUGAGCUUUGAUUCCCUAGGGGAAGCGUAUGAUUUCUAUAACAUGUAUUCUUGGGAGCUCGGAUUUGGUAUAAGAUAUGGCAAGAGCCGGUUGAAUGUCGUGUGGACAAAAUACCAAGCAAGAGCCAUGGAGAUAGCAAUCAAGAGCGAGCUUCAUGGGACUGUGCACAAAUGUUACAUGACAAAUUUGUACGAGAUACGAUGCAAGUGGGCGAAACCAUACUUCAAAGGUGUUUUCUGUGCCAAAAUGACUAGCACCCAGCGUAGCAAGAGUGCAAACAAUAUGCUGAAAAUAUACAUGCCACCAGCAAAUCCAAUGCAUGUGUUUUGUGCGUCAGGACAUGAGGCUGCAAUUCGACCAGGAAUCAGAUGA